This 408-nucleotide ribosomal RNA is filed under the name uncultured bacterium. RNAcentral's name for it is "partial 16S ribosomal RNA". It matches the Rfam family "Bacterial small subunit ribosomal RNA", at positions 28 to 526 of the family's 1533-position model. The record is from RNAcentral.
GACGAACGCUGGCGGCGUGCUUAACACAUGCAAGUCGAACGAAGUGGCGAACGGGUGAGUAAUACGUGGGUAACCUGCCCUCCUUUUUGGGAUAAACCUUGGAAACGGGGUCUAAUACCGAAUAAAGGGGGCUGGGCUCGCGGCCUAUCAGCUUGUUGGUGGGGUGAUGGCCUACCAAGGCGGUGACGGGUAGCCGGCCUGAGAGGGUGACCGGCCACAUUGGGACUGAGAUACGUCCCAGACUCCUACGGGAGGCAGCAGUGGGGGCUAGUGCACAAUGGGUGAAAGUCUGAUGCAGUGACGCCGCGUGGGGGCUGAAGGCUUUCGGGUUGUAAAGCUCUUGCGAUAUCGAAGGGGUAGGUGGAGAGGAAGCGCCGGCUAACUACGUGCCAGCAGCCGCGGUAAUAC